GACAGAGGGUGCAAACGUUGUUCGGAAUUACUGGGCGUAAAGCGUGUGUAGGCGGUCCGCUAAGUCGGGUGUGAAAGCCCUGGGCUCAACCCAGGAAGUGCACUCGAAACUGGCGGGCUAGAGUAUCGGAGAGGUUGGUGGAAUUCUCGGUGUAGAGGUGAAAUUCGUAGAUAUCGAGAGGAACACCGGUGGCGAAGGCGGUCUGCUGGGCCAAGACUGACGCUGAGGCGCGACAGCGUGGGGGGCAAACAGG
RNAcentral lists this ribosomal RNA (253 nucleotides) under uncultured bacterium. RNAcentral's name for it is "partial 16S ribosomal RNA". It matches the Rfam family "Bacterial small subunit ribosomal RNA", at positions 524 to 776 of the family's 1533-position model. The record is from RNAcentral.